GUAGUUAGCCGGGGCUUCCUCCUUGGCUACCGUCACUUUCUUCGUCACCAAGGACAGAGGUUUACAACCCGAAAGCCUUCUUCCCUCACGCGGCGUUGCUGGGUCAGGCUUGCGCCCAUUGCCCAAUAUUCCCCACUGCUGCCUCCCGUAGGAGUCUGGACCGUGUCUCAGUUCCAGUGUGGCCGAUCAGCCUCUCAGCUCGGCUACCCAUCGCAGGCUUGGUGGGCUGUUAUCUCACCAACUACCUAAUGGGACGCGAACCCCUCCUUCAGCGGAUUGCUCCUUUGACCUCAUCCCGAUGCCGGGUCGUGGUCUUAUGCGGUAUUAGCACUUGUUUCCAGGUGUUAUCCCCCUCUGAAGGUCAGGUUGUUCACGCGUUACUCACCCGUUCGCCACUAAAAUUUAUCUUCCAUCCGAAAACUUCCGAUAAAUCUCCGUUCGACUUGCAUGUGUUAGGCACGCCGCCAGCGUUCGUCCUGAGCCAUAAUCAAACUCUGA
This 498-nucleotide ribosomal RNA is filed under the name uncultured bacterium. Its description in RNAcentral is "partial 16S ribosomal RNA". The record is from RNAcentral.